ACGGCCACAUCACAUUGAAACACCGGCUCCCGUAUGAUCACUGAAGUUAAGCAACGUCGAGUCUGUUCAGUACCUAGAUGGUGACUGCUUGGAAAUACCAGUUGCUGUCGG
RNAcentral lists this ribosomal RNA (111 nucleotides) under Acanthosepion pharaonis. Lineage: Eukaryota; Metazoa; Mollusca; Cephalopoda; Sepiida; Sepiidae. The record is from RNAcentral.